RNAcentral lists this small RNA (896 nucleotides) under Pan troglodytes (chimpanzee). RNAcentral describes it as "processed transcript". Lineage: Eukaryota; Metazoa; Chordata; Mammalia; Primates; Hominidae. The record is from RNAcentral.
GCCACAUGGCUCUGCCUGAGCCCAUCCGGCAGCCUUCCUUGGCAGGGACGGAAGGGGUGAUCUAGAAGGGGUGAUCCCUCCAUGAAGCAUGGAAGGGAACAGGGCCAGGUCUGUGUCUGGCGCUCACCCCAUCCCUCCACUCCCUGGCUUCCUCUGGCCUGGGGAGUUUUGUUUUUCACCCUCCAGAUGGGGAGGACAUGGGCCACACCCUGGCCUGUCUCUCAGGCUUGUGUGGGUGGAGGCUGGGAAGGGAGUUGGACUAAACUUCGCUGUUGCCCGAGGCCAUGGCCACUUCCCGGCAGGUUGCCAGCGUCGCUACAGCCCAGACCAAGGCAGAAUAAUCUCCGGAUGAGCUGGUGGCACCGCUGAGCCUUUGGUCUCACCAGGGCUUCCUGUUGCUGGCAGGCGGGGUGGAGCGGGGCUGCUGGGAGGCUGCUGGAUAGGAGAGGGGUCACGGCUGCGGAAGAGGAGGUUCUUCAGGACGCUCGUGGAUGGACACGGCAAGGAAAGAGCAAGGCUCAGGAUGAUUUAUCCUCUUUUCACUGAUGAGGAAUCUGAGGCCCAGAGAACAGUCAUGAAGUGUGAUCAGACCCUGAGGUCUCCAAAAAGAUAAUGUCCUUGCGAACUCCAGGGAUUCUGGCAUCUUGCUGUACCCACCCCAGCCCACACGGCAGGAUCCUAUCCAAGUCCCUUAUCCACCCGGACACUCACUCUAUAGCUUUUACACCCUCAAGGCUGAGACCCUAAGGACACGCCCUGGAUCCAAGGAGUCCCUGGCCCCUCUGCUAAUAUGCGCCACCUGGACUCCCAGAGGGAAAGCCGGUCAGCACCCCACAUGCAUUAGCACCAUGGGCCACCCCCAAGCCCUACCCCAGGAGAAGCUCAUGGUGGCAAAA